This 101-nucleotide microRNA precursor is filed under the name Marmota monax (woodchuck). The record is from RNAcentral. Lineage: Eukaryota; Metazoa; Chordata; Mammalia; Rodentia; Sciuridae.
AAUGAAAUUGCUGAGUAAUAUAGUGAUUCUAUGUUUUGCUUUUUGAGGAACCACUAAACUUUUCCGUAGCAGCUGCACCAUUUUGCAUUCCCAUCAGCAAU